GGCCUGAUGUUCCAAGGUAAUUUCAAAACGAACAAGAAAAACAAUGAGAAUGGGAGAUAAGUUAAGUAUUAUACAAUUGAUCUUGGAGAAACGAAUUAUUAAGUGAAAAAUUACAAGCAUUCUUAAGUUUUUAGAAUAUUCUCUGAAUAAGAUAGUAUAAUAUGCAUACAAAAAUUUCGAGUAUAUUUAUUCCCAUCAAUUCCCAAAAACAGAGUCAAUUAUAAUAAGGGUUUAAUUCUCAACAUGUAUUAACAGCAGGUAAUUCCCAGAUGAUAACUAUAGAAACAUGAACCAAUGCUCCAGAAUAUACCUGCAUCCCAGCAUAAAGCACAA
This 333-nucleotide unclassified non-coding RNA is filed under the name Hevea brasiliensis (rubber tree). Lineage: Eukaryota; Viridiplantae; Streptophyta; Magnoliopsida; Malpighiales; Euphorbiaceae. The record is from RNAcentral.